AUUGAACGCUGGCGGCAUGCCUAACACAUGCAAGUCGAACGGCAGCACAGCAGUAGCAAUACUGUGGGUGGCGAGUGGCGGACGGGUGAGGAAUACGUCGGAAUCUGCCCAGUCGUGGGGAUAACUAGCCGAAAGGUUAGCUAAUACCGCAUACGACCGAGAGGUGAAAGCGGGGGACCGCAAGGCCUCGCGCGAUUGGAUGAGCCGACGUCGGAUUAGCUAGUUGGCGGGUAAAGGCCCACCAAGGCGACGAUCCGUAGCUGGUCUGAGAGGAUGAUCAGCCACACUGGAACUGAGACACGGUCCAGACUCCUACGGGAGGCAGCAGUGGGGAAUAUUGGACAAUGGGCGCAAGCCUGAUCCAGCAAUGCCGCGUGUGUGAAGAAGG
Molecule: ribosomal RNA, 388 nt
Filed under: uncultured bacterium
Lineage: Bacteria
Description: bacterial SSU rRNA
Rfam family: Bacterial small subunit ribosomal RNA
Source: RNAcentral